This is a long non-coding RNA of Oncorhynchus gorbuscha (pink salmon), 2771 nucleotides long. RefSeq lists it as uncharacterized. Lineage: Eukaryota; Metazoa; Chordata; Actinopteri; Salmoniformes; Salmonidae. The transcript is spliced from 2 exons. The record is from RefSeq and is a predicted model, not a curated record.
UAGCUGUUUAUACUGAAGUUUGGUAAAAUGUCCUAAACUGACAUUUCAAAAAUGCGAUGAGGUUUCUUAUCCCAACCCAAAUUAUUGUUACACAGGAUAGCCAUAACUGCUGUCAUAUUUCAACAGAGGAGGGGCCUGCUGCCCGCUGUCUGUGUAGAUGCUGCUGUGGCCUGAUUCUGUCCUCUUGGGCUGGCCCUUUCUUACUGAGCUGUAGACCACCCCCGGGUGGGAGCGGUAGCCUAGGACCGAGCGGAAGCUGGAGUUCCUGCUGGCGGGGCGACUCUCUGGGGCUGGGGCAUCCUCCCUGGUGGGCAGGGGUAGUGCCAGGCCACAGAGGAGAAGCACAGAAAGCGACGCUUGUGGCAGCAGCAGACCAGAAGCCAGAUGAGAAGCAGGAGGAGGAGCAACAGUAGCAGGCCACCAAUCACAGCACCCACUAUGGUCCCUGCCUUGUUGGAAGCUAAAAAGGUCCUGAUAUUCAGACAGGUUCCAAGGAAUAGGUCCACACAUAUGCACCGUUCUCACUUUCUUUCUCCCAAUUAACAGGCUUAAAGAUAUUUGUGGUUUUAAACUUACGGUUGUAUGCGUGCAGGGUGCAUUUACACUGCACUUUGCCAACAGGAUUCGACACCACACAAAGAUAGUUUCCCAUGUAGCUCUCUGAGUGAUUUCUUAUCAUCAGCUCUCCAGUCUGAGAGUCUAAAAAAAACCCACAAAAGACAAUCACUGCCAGCUACAAGCCACACCUUACCACAGUAUAUCAACAUGUACAGUAGAUCUAUGGUUAUGUGUGCCAUGUCUUAUCUAGAGGCUUUAGUUCUUGGUUCCUACUUUGUGUUGCUGUGGGCGGGAUGGCCCCUCCACUCUCUCUGGUCCAGACAUAGUUGAUGGGGAUGGAUCCCACGGAGGACUGGCAUCGGAGGGUGACAUCGCUCCCCUUCUCCUCGCCACCUUCAACCCAGCACUUAGGCAUUGAUGGUGGAACUGGUGCAAGAGAAUAGAUGUAAAACAGUGUCUUUGGAAAUAUUUCCUUUGAUGUACCGUACCAGGGGCACAACUUUCACUGGGGACAUUGCAUUUUUAACCCCCCCCCCCUUCAGUUUUGCCAUUGGAAUGUGAUACAAAAGGAAGCAACGGUGUGCUUUAGGACCAUGAGGAAACCUCUGAGUGGUCGGGUAGGCUGUUUGGUGUGUUAAUAAUCUGACUGGACAGAAAAAUUUAUAUAAUUAUGUUCCCCCCGCUUCUAAACCCAAAGUUGCGCCCCUGUACUGUACAUAUGCAUUUUUGCAACCAAAUGUAAAAUGGGCCAAUGUGUAAACUUGUUGAUUUCUUCUAAGUGUAUUUCCACCAAAGGAAAUUUGGUAUAUUGAUAGGAACAAAGGAAAGAGGUGUGGCUGCUGGAUGGAAGUAUCAGAGAUAACAAGGUGUUAACAGGGUGUUAACAUUCCAUCUCGGUGAGAGAGCAAAUUAAAAAACGGCACACAGGACAGUGGAAUGAUGAAACUGGUAAAACAGAAACCAGUCUGGGAGGGGCAGCCUUCCUCACCCAUCACUACCAGAGUGACUUUUCGCAUGUCGACACCCGGCACUUUCUUGACUUUGCACUGGUAGGUGGCUGUGUCUGAGGCUUUCACUGCAGAGAUGGAGACGGAUGCGUCUCCCAGUGUGGGAGCUCCUGUGAAGUCCAUCCUGGUAGACAAGCUGGGGUCCCCAUAAUGCACUUUUUUGCCUCCUGAAUAAGAUAAGAUCUAAGAGAUAGAGUCAGUUCAAUGACAAAAACUACAAAAACAAGUAUUGAUAACACAUAUUCAGAACACGUUUUUCUUACUGAAACAGUGAGGAUAAGAUCUCCAAGACUAGUCUGACCUAAUAUAUAUGAGUGGAUGUUAAGACUAACAUAUUAAUUUGAUAAUGCAUGUUUCAUCUCCAAACCCUCCCCAUAAGUUAUCCAUAUCAAGGAUCCCCUCUGUCCCCUGCUCUGUAGUCUCACCAGCUGGUCUUUCUGGGUCAUGUCUGGACGGACGUUCAACCACUCAAUGUCCAGUUCUCCUAUGUCAGAGGGGUCAGGGAUGAAGGUGCACCCCAGCGUGACUGUCUCCCCCUGGGCUUUCUGAAUGGUCUGAGGCCCUGUGGAUGUUAUCUGAAUACCCUCUAUGACAUCUAAGGGUUCAGAGAAAAACACACAUUCAGGAUUGACACUUACAAAGAAUGUGGAGUCCCUCAGGCAGGGACAGACUAAAAUGACAACUUCUAAAUGGGGAAAAACUGCAUUAGCAGUUCACAGAAGUGUAAAUGCAUUUCUGAUAAAUUUGAUAUAUCCAACAUGUAGGACAGACACUGGCUAUUGAAUGCAGCAGAAACUGACGUUGUUAUGACCUGGGACACUGUCUGGGCUCCAACCCAACUGCUGUUUACAUUGAGCGAAAUAAACCUGUUGCGUAGGAAUGUACAGUCAAUGCCUGUUCCUGUCGCACAGGCACAUCUUACAUCCCCUGACAAAGAUAAAUGGACAGAAAAACCUUGAUAUGAAUUAAACUAAAAUGUGGUCUUGCGCAGUGUGGGCCAGAAGGGCCCAACAUAAUGGAUAGCAUGGGGAGACUAGGUUAGGAAACCCUGAUUUAUUUGACAACUCACCUGUGUUGAGAUAAACUGUUAGCACAAACAUCACAGCCAACUGUAGUCUUGAGCAUGUCAGGCACUUUCGCAUAGUGACCAUAUUGGUAAACCUGUAUGGCACAUCAAGAGAAAUAUGAUUACAAUUAUUAACUGAA